ACCUGGACUAAGCCCAGGAACAUAGUACCACAGAGCUGAUGGGCCAUGUGCUUACUGAAGACAAGAUGUUUCCUUGCAUACUGUGCUAACUUUUGCUUUUUGUGAUCCCUGCUUGGGGAGCUCUAGAAUAAGAGUCAGGGACCUCCGACUUUGCCAGCCAACAGCAA
This 167-nucleotide ribozyme is filed under the name Tupaia belangeri chinensis (Chinese tree shrew). Its description in RNAcentral is "Tupaia chinensis (Chinese tree shrew) Hovlinc ribozyme (hominin vlincRNA-located)". It matches the Rfam family "Hovlinc ribozyme (hominin vlincRNA-located)". Rfam says of the family: Hovlinc is a recently evolved class of self-cleaving ribozyme found in a very long non coding RNA (vlincRNA) in hominins, including humans (genus Homo), and chimpanzees and bonobos (genus Pan), but missing in gorillas (genus Gorilla). The record is from Rfam by way of RNAcentral. Lineage: Eukaryota; Metazoa; Chordata; Mammalia; Scandentia; Tupaiidae.